UGGAAGAUUGAGAGGGGUUGCUCCUAGUACGAGAGGACCGGAGUGAACGCACCACUGGUGUUCGGGUUGUCAUGCCAAUGGCAUUGCCCGGUAGCUAAGUGCGGAAGAGAUAACCGCUGAAAGCAUCUAAGCGGGAAACUUGCCUCGAGAUGAGUCUUCCCUGUCGCUUUAAGCGACCUAAAGGAACGUUUAAGACUAAGACGUUGAUAGGCUGGGUGUGUAAGCGUAGCGAUACGUUGAGCUAACCAGUACUAAUGAACCGUGAGGCUUAACCUG
This 276-nucleotide ribosomal RNA is filed under the name Escherichia coli. RNAcentral describes it as "partial 23S ribosomal RNA". It matches the Rfam family "Bacterial large subunit ribosomal RNA", at positions 2655 to 2925 of the family's 2925-position model. Lineage: Bacteria; Pseudomonadati; Pseudomonadota; Gammaproteobacteria; Enterobacterales; Enterobacteriaceae. RNAcentral also lists the same sequence under 1 other name. The record is from RNAcentral.